GCCAGGCAGCCGCGGUAAUUCCAGCUCCAAUAGCGUAUAUUAAAGUUGUUGCAGUUAGAACGCUCGUAGUCGGAUUUCGGGGCAGUCCGACCGGUCUGCCGAUGGGUAUGCACUGGCCGGAGUGUCCUUUUUGCCGGAGACCGUGCCUACUCUUAACUGAGCGGGGGCGGGAGACGGCACUUUUACUUUGAAAAAAUCAGAGUGUUUCAAGCAGGCAGCUCGCUCUUGCAUGGAUUAGCAUGGGAUAAUGAAAUAGGACUUUGGUGCUAUUUUGUUGGUUUCGAACACCGAAGUAAUGAUGAGAAGGGACAGUCAGGGGCACUCGUAUUCCGCAGAGAGAGGUGAAAUUCUCAGACCCGCGGAAGACGAACCACUGCGAAAGCAUUUGCCAGGGAUGUUUUCACUGAUCAAGAACGAAAGUUAGGGGAUCGAAGAUGAUCAGAUACCGUCGUAGUCUUAACCAUAAACCAUGCCGACUAGGGAUUGGAGGAUGUUCACUGAUUGACUCCUUCAGCACCUUACGGGAAACUAAAGUCUUUGGGUUCCGGGGGGAGUAUGGUCGCAAGGCUGAAACUUAAAGGAAUUGACGGAAGGGCACCACCAGGUGUGGAGCCUGCGGCUUAAUUUGACUCAACACGGGGAAACUUACCAGGUCCAGACAUUGUGAGGAUUGACAGAUUGAGAGCUCUUUCUUGAUUCGAUGGGUGGUGGUGCAUGGCCGUUCUUAGUUGGUGGAGUGAUUUGUCUGGUUAAUUCCGUUAACGAACGAGACCUUAGCCUGCUAAAUAGUGACGCGAACUCUUUGUUGGCGGGCCACUUCUUAGAGGGACAACUUGUCUUCAACAAGUGGAAGUUUGAGGCAAUAACAGGUCUGUGAUGCCCA
This 883-nucleotide ribosomal RNA is filed under the name uncultured eukaryote. Its description in RNAcentral is "SSU rRNA". It matches the Rfam family "Eukaryotic small subunit ribosomal RNA", at positions 566 to 1473 of the family's 1831-position model. The record is from RNAcentral.